AACCUCGUGUAAUUUGGACGCUAGAGCUGCACAACAAGUUCCUAGCUCGUCUUCUAACAACACAAGACGAGAACACAAUGAACACCAACUGGUUUCAGAAUGCUUAGGUUACGUAGCGCCUGAGCUAGAGUUUCAGAACUAAAGGGUCAACGAGAAAUGCGAUGUUUACGGGUUUGGAGUUCUGAUACUCGAACUCCUGACUGGUCGGAGACUCCUGGAGUACGGUGAAGACAGCUUUGUGAUACUAAGCGAUCAUGUUCGAGUUUUGUUAGAACAAGGGAAUGUGUUGGAGUGUAUUGAUCCUACAAUGGAGGAAGAAUACUCUGAGGAUGAGGUUUUGCCUUUUCUGAAACUUUCUCUUGUCUGUACUUCUCAGAUUCCUUCAAAUUUGCCUACAAUGGCAGAGAUUGUUCAGAUCUUGCAGGCCAUCAGUUCUCCUGUUCCUCACCGUCACCGGAUGCUCGAUAGUUUUUCAAAAAGCUCUGUGUUAAUUUGAUUUUCUAUUAUGCAAUAUUUUCUUUCUUUUUAUUUAUUUUUUUUACUUUUUUUGUAGAGAUUGCUUUCUUUCACAAUGGUAUGUUCUAUCUUUCUCGCUACGUCAAUCAUGAAUCAUCUUGACGAUCAUUGACCAUUGUUAUCAUUAAUAGGCUUUUUCCUGAGAAUUUUUCACGUGUUUGUAAGUUAGCAAAUAAUACAAACGUACAAUAAUUACUGAUACUGGAAAAACUAACUUUGUUUCAUAUCUACAUGGCAUUUUAUUGUCUGCUUCAUCAUCUUGCACAAGUGUGCGUACAUAUUAAUAUGCUUUCACCUACUUACACUAUAACUAUUUACAGAACCACUCUGUUUCUCAUAUUUACAACUUCAUUUGGGUAUAUACUACACCGACAUCAAGAAUUCAUAGCCGACGAUAACACAUACCGCCACACUUCAUCUGGUUUUCAAAGCACUGAUGAGUUCUCCGUUUGUUGUACUAUUUGAUACAUUCGAUAUAUGAGCUUUAACCUGUAACUGCGACAUUGAAGAAUCCAAUUAUAUUAUUGCAUACGCAAUCACUCUCCUCCUUCUUCAUUUUUAAAGCAAUCUAAGAGUCUAAAUUAGAAUUUAAAGCGAUACUUUUGAUGAUCCUAUAGGUUCACAAAUUCUGAAGAUCGUAAUCAAAAACGUGUUUGUUAGCUUACCCCUACGGAGUUCUGUUGCAUGAAGCGCAUAUGUUGAAAGAUGCACUACACAAGCUUUUUUUAAAGGAGAUGAGCUACACAUGCACAAACGUAAUCCAUAAUUAAAAAAAAAACAUACAACAUGGUAAACACAAUUACCAAACAAAACAUAAAGUCACUCUCCUCAACUGCACAAGCACACAAAUCAAAACAAACAAAUGCAGUUCCUUUUAUAUACUAUGCACAUGAACUUAAUAGUAUAAGUAUGUUGUCUAAAUAAAACAUCAACUUUACUUCUUCUUCCUUUUCGGUCGAAAAAACAUCAACUUAACUAAAUGUUUAGAUUCCGAUUAAAUUAACUUUGUUAUAACUAUUGACUUUUUAUUCUAUUUUUAUUAAAUCUAUUAGUGAUAUUCCACUUUGAACUAAACAACAUUAAAAUAAAGUAAUAUACUACGGUCGCUAACCAAUAUCAAAUAGAUCAGAAAAAUAUUAUUCUCUUUCAACAUAUUUUCAUUUUCAUAUUUUUAAAUAUAUUUUGUUUACUAAGAUUAUAAAUGAACUUUAAAUUUAUUUAAGAAAAAAUAUACUAACCCGGCGCGUAGCGCCGGAAUACCACUAGUAUAAAAAUAAAUUAGGGAUUUCUAUAUAUAAAACAAGUAAGACGCUUCCCUCGAAUACCUUCAUCGCUCCUCUCGAAAUCAA
RNAcentral lists this long non-coding RNA (1865 nucleotides) under Brassica rapa (field mustard). RNAcentral describes it as "long non-coding RNA (BRAP_LNC001091)". The record is from RNAcentral. Lineage: Eukaryota; Viridiplantae; Streptophyta; Magnoliopsida; Brassicales; Brassicaceae.